UGAGAAAGUGAAAUGUUAAUCCAAUCAUCGUCGUCCUAGGUUGGAUUCUUUACAUGGGAAAUCUGCACGCGAUUGGUGUAUCUUUCUCUCCCUCUCGCUGGUUUCAAAAAAAUUAAUGUGACUUGGUUCUUGCCUCUCCUCUUCCCCCGCGCCAUGCCAUAAAGUUAAUUAUUUAAGCAAAAUGGUACUCAAAAACAAUCAUUUGACUAUCAGUUUCGAUCCUGUUUUCUUUUCAUUCACGUUUGAAUGUGCUUGUGGCUGAUAUUGUGGUUGACAACGAACGAACCAAUCGUCGAGAGGCUACCAAAACCGGAAGUGAAGAGCGAUAAUUUUAAAAAAACAUGAAACCAAAACCGAAAUCGAGAGACGAGAGUGAUAUUAAUCCGGUUUUCAAGUCCUGAAUAAAAAGAUGAAAACCAAUCUAAUUUACAUCGAUCUUAACUCAAAUCUGUAACUAUUCAAAAGUUGAACAAACUUACUUAAAUUAAUUUCUAUAUGUAUUUUAAUUACUCGUAGUUAUAAAUUCAACAUCGAGGAAAUAAUCUAAAUUUUUAAUUUAAUCUAUUAAAUUUAAUUAUCCUAAAGUAAUUUAAUUCCCGUACCCUUCUCGCUUAUUUUUUUAUGGGGAGUUGAAUCUCCCAAAUAGUGGAGGCAAAUUGAAAAAUGUCGUCAUCAACAUAUACCUACCUAGUAGUUGAAAUAACGUAAUAUCGUAACAAAGAGAUUAUUUUUUCUGUUAAUUAGUUAUAUGCGGGGAGCCCACUUAAGGAUAAAUGCACCCCCUCCCCCGUCGAUCCUCCGGGACAACUUUUUUCUUAAAGGGGGAGUCCUAAAGGAACAUUUCUAGCACUUGUGCUCAAAAAAAGUGGCCCACUUACAAAAUGGGGGCCAUUUUGAUUGACAGGUCAGCCGAAAUCGCAGAUUUUGCGUUCCAAAAUAGGACUUGUGCAACAUUUUUCAAACUGUACAAAAGUAGAUCGAAAGAUCAAGCAAAAAUUUAUCACCUGUCAAAAUUUCAAGUGCUCAAGUGCUUUUUUCGAUUUUUGGUGAAUUUUUAAAAACCAAAUUUAGGCCAAAAAUGAGGGGAAAAAUCAAAAUUUUACCAAAUUGACCAAGAUGGCUGAAAUUUGGGAUACACCCUAUUUUCGACAUGCCAAAUUGAUAGGAAACUGUUUCAAACCGUUUUGAGCAGUUCUAGAGCCGCCAGCAGAUUUUUGAAACUCGAAAUUCUCACAUUUAACCAAAAUGGAGUUGGAAAGCUGAAAUUUAUUCUGCAAACUAAUUUCAAUACUCUACGAAGUCGACUGCAGGGGGAUUUCAAGUCAUUUUGGAGCCUUUGGCAACUUUUUGAAAAUUCCUGGAGCAUCCAUCAGAUUUUUGAAACUUUGAAUUUUCACAAAAUUUCAUGAAAUGGAGAUGGAAAGCUGAAUUUUACUCUACACUCCAAUUUUAACACCCUCUGAAGACGACUUCAGGUGGAUUCAAAUCAUUUUGGAGCCUCCAGCGACUUUUUGAAAAUUACUGGGGCCUCCAGUAGAUUUUAAAAACUUGAAAUUCCCGCAACAUUUUACCAAAUGGAGUUGGCAAGCUGAAAUUUACUUCGAUUUCAAUUUUACAAAAACCACCAUACGACUUCUCAAAAAGUAGCUGGAGGCUCCAAAACGACUUGAAAACCACCAGCAGACGACAUCGUAGCGUAUUAAAAUUAGUUUGAAGAAUGAAUUUUGACUUUCCAUCUCUGUUUGAUGAAAUUUUUAGGAUAAGUAAAGUUUCAAAAAUCUAUACUGGGGAGGCUCCAGUAAUUUUCAAAAAAUCGCUGGAUGCUCCAAAACGACUUGAAAUCCUCCGGUAGUUGACUUCGUAGCGUAUUGAAAUUAGUUUGUUGAAUGAAUUUCAGCUUUCCAACUCCAUUUUGGUGAAAUUUUGUGUGAAUUUCAAGUUUCAAAAAUCUGCUGGCGGCUCUAGAACUGCUCAAAACGACUUGAAACAGUUUCCAAUCGAUUUGGCAUGUCGAAAAUAGGGUGUAUCCCAAAUUUCAGCUUUCUUGGUCAAUUUGGUAAAAUUUUGAUUUUUCCCCUCAUUUUUGGCCUAAAUUUGAUUUUCAAAAAUUCACCAAAAAUCGAAAAACGCACUUUAGCACUUGAAAUUUUGACAGGUGAUAAAUUUUUGCUUGAUCUUUCGAUCUACUUUUGUACACUUUGAAAAAUGUUGUGCAAGUCCUAUGUUGGAACGCAAAAUCUGCGAUUUCGGCUGACCUGUCAAUCAAAAUGGCCGCCAUUUUGUAAGUAGGGCCACUUUUUUUUUGUAUACAAGGGCUAGAAAUGUUCCUUAGGACUCCCUCUUUAUGAAAAAAGUUGUCCCGGAGGAUCGACGGGAGGGUGCAAUAGAUCCUUAAGCGGGCUCUCCGACUAUCAGUACACAUAUUUUUUAGAUACUUAUAUAGGCUUACUAGGUACUGUUACCAACUUUGUGGAUUAUUGAUGACUUUUUUGUCCGAUAUGUUUCGACUGGCUUUUUGUACGUCUUUUGGGGUUUUUUGGGUGGUGAUGCGGGUGUUUCAAAAGCGGUACCUAUCGACGUUUUGAAUCAAAUUGCAUUCUUGCGAUUAAUGAAAGUGAGCAUCUGUGAUUCUUGAUUCAACUGCAACUACAUUCUUUAUAAUUGCUAUUAUUUGGCAUAUCUUUAAACAUACAAAAAAAUAGUAGGUAGACAAAUCGAUUUACGUAAGUACAUAUGUAUGUAAGUAUAUAAAUUAAGCUGUUUGCCUGUUUCUGCUUACUAGUGGAGGCAAAUUAGCAUCAUAUUAUUUUGAAAAUAAAUACAUUUUUGGCUACCCCAGCUUUUAUGAUGAAAAAUUGUCAAGGCUGGUCCCCUGAAUAAUUCCUGAGAAUUACCACCCCACAGACCUUGAUAAUUUUUCAAAUGGUGGAGGGGAAAUCACUAAUCAGGUGUAGGAUUUAAUUCUUUUCAAUACCGAUGCAUCAAAAAACCAUCACCAGUUAGAAUUUUACAAUUUGUUAACCAGAUGGAAUAAUUUUCCAACUUGAAAAUUAAUUUUGCCAAUAUCAGAAGGGCGAGGGGGCAAGCUGCCUUCUGCCCUCGCCAUUAUCAGUCUGGCUUUCAAUCAGAGUACAUGCAAAAACGGAAAACCAAAAUAAUUAUACUUAUCCACGAAUAGGACAAUAUGUCUCAUCCAACAUUUAGGCUAAAAUUCAACCAGUUCGAAGAAAUUCCAGUGAUCCACGAAUAGUCUUCGAGUCCUGUAACAUAUUCAAAUGAAAAAAAAAACAACCCAU
Molecule: long non-coding RNA, 3296 nt
Organism: Planococcus citri (citrus mealybug)
Lineage: Eukaryota; Metazoa; Arthropoda; Insecta; Hemiptera; Pseudococcidae
Exons: 2
Source: RefSeq, a predicted model, not a curated record